GGCCCUGCUCUUGUGGGGUGCUCGAGUGGCGAACGGGUGAGUAACACGUGAGUAACCUGCCCUUGACUUUGGGAUAACUUCAGGAAACUGGGGCUAAUACCGGAUAGGAGCUCCUGCUGCAUGGUGGGGGUUGGAAAGUUUCGGCGGUUGGGGAUGGACUCGCGGCUUAUCAGCUUGUUGGUGGGGUAGUGGCUUACCAAGGCUUUGACGGGUAGCCGGCCUGAGAGGGUGACCGGCCACAUUGGGACUGAGAUACGGCCCAGACUCCUACGGGAGGCAGCAGUGGGGAAUAUUGCACAAUGGGCGGAAGCCUGAUGCAGCAACGCCGCGUGCGGGAUGACGGCCUUCGGGUUGUAAACCGCUUUCGCCUGUGACGAAGCGUGAGUGACGGUAAUGGGUAAAGAAGCACCGGCUAACUACGUGCCAGCAGCCGCGGUGAUACGUAGGGUGCGAGCGUUGUCCGGAUUUAUUGGGCGUAAAGGGCUCGAAGGUGGUUGAUCGCGUCGGAAGUGUAAUCUUGGGGCUUAACCCUGAGCGUGCUUUCGAUACGGGUUGACUUGAGGAAGGUAGGGGAGAAUGGAAUUCCUGGUGGAGCGGUGGAAUGCGCAGAUAUCAGGAGGAACACCAGUGGCGAAG
RNAcentral lists this ribosomal RNA (636 nucleotides) under uncultured Propionibacterium sp. Its description in RNAcentral is "bacterial SSU rRNA". It matches the Rfam family "Bacterial small subunit ribosomal RNA", at positions 71 to 720 of the family's 1533-position model. Lineage: Bacteria; Bacillati; Actinomycetota; Actinomycetes; Propionibacteriales; Propionibacteriaceae. The record is from RNAcentral.